UGGGGAAUUUUGGACAAUGGGGGAAACCCUGAUCCAGCCAUGCCGCGUGCGGGAAGAAGGCCUUCGGGUUGUAAACCGCUUUUGGCAGGAACGAAACGGCGCGGGCUAAUACCCCGCGCUAAUGACGGUACCUGCAGAAUAAGCACCGGCUAACUACGUGCCAGCAGCCGCGGUAAUACGUAGGGUGCAAGCGUUAAUCGGAAUUACUGGGCGUAAAGCGUACGCAGGCGGCUGUGCAAGACAGGUGCGAAAUCCCCGGGCUCAACCUGGGAACUGCACUUGUGACUGCACGGCUAGAGUCCGUAAGAGGGGGGUGGAAUUCCACGUGUAGCAGUGAAAUGCGUAGAGAUGUGGAGGAACACCGAUGGCGAAGGCAGCCCCCUGGGAUGAGACUGACGCUCAUGUACGAAAGCGUGGGGAGCAAACAGGAUUAGAUACCCUGGUAGUCCACGCCCUAAACGAUGUCGACUAGUUGUCGGGUCUUUACAGACUUGGUAACGCAGCUAACGCGUGAAGUCGACCGCCUGGGGAGUACGGUCGCAAGAUUA
This 548-nucleotide ribosomal RNA is filed under the name uncultured bacterium. RNAcentral's name for it is "bacterial SSU rRNA". It matches the Rfam family "Bacterial small subunit ribosomal RNA", at positions 355 to 896 of the family's 1533-position model. The record is from RNAcentral.